CUCAUUAUACUUGCAUUUCACCUAGGGCUAAUCUGAAAUAUGCUUCUUCCAGAAACCAAGUUGAAUUGGGACCCUUCACUUCUCUCUUGUACCACUUAAGGUGCUUACCUUUAUUACUUAACAAAAUUUCCAUUGUCCAAAGAUCUAUGUAUUCAUAUCUAAUAAAUUUCUGACCACAAAAAUUCUUUGGGUUUUUAACAGACAAGAUCAUAAUUGUUUCUGAUUUUCUUCUUAUCAUGCUUGAGGCUGUGAGAGCUGUUAAUGGGUUCUAGUGAUUUCUAUUACUAUUUCCAUCAAUUUUCUCUUAUUAGUUGUCUACACUUACCAAGGCCAAACUAUACUACCACUAAUGGAAUCAAACAUAUCUUGGGUAAAACUGUUUUAUAUAAAAUUCUGUUAUUGAGAUGGUAAACCCUGAAUUUUCUAGUAUUCCAUGUUGAUUGUAGAUUUUAUGAUCUUUUCUUGAGGAGGAUUGGUUUAAACUCAUUGGUAUAGAUCUUGUUAUUUCUCUUGCAAGACUUUAGUAUUGAAUGCGAUACGACAUUAAAAAAAAAAUAAUUGACAUUGUUUUCCCAUUCUUCCACUCCGACCCACCCCAACCCCCCU
RNAcentral lists this long non-coding RNA (606 nucleotides) under Elaeis guineensis (African oil palm). RNAcentral describes it as "long non-coding RNA (EGUI_LNC069871)". The record is from RNAcentral. Lineage: Eukaryota; Viridiplantae; Streptophyta; Magnoliopsida; Arecales; Arecaceae.